Equus caballus (horse) is the source of this 3920-nucleotide non-coding RNA. NCBI's taxonomy places the organism in Eukaryota, Metazoa, Chordata, Mammalia, Perissodactyla, Equidae. The record is from RefSeq and is a predicted model, not a curated record.
CUAGAACUGUAUCUCAGUUCUACCUGAAUCAGAAUCUCUGGCAUAAGGCCCAGAAGUAUGCAUUUCCUAAAAGCUCCCUUGGUUCUGAGAUGUGUGGCCAGGUUUGGAGACCAUUGGUCAGAACUUUACCAGAAUGCCAUUCAAUUUCUUCCAGCCCAGAAAUUCUAUUGUUCUUUGACAUUCCCAAAGAAACAUCACUGACAAUGGUUGCUGCUGGGGCUUGUACUACUUGUGGGGUUAUAUAGUCAAGGCCUAAAUGAGACAUUAAUUUGCGGGAUCGACUGGGAAAUAAACCACCAUAUAUAACAUUCCUUAUAUAGAAAAAAGUUUGCAAAGUUCCAAAUAAUAAGCAAAAAAAUGUAAACUUCUGAAACAAGUUCUCGCUUUAUCUUAGGGUUCAGAUAAAAGUUAGAAGACUCAGACUUUUUCUAAAAGACACAUUUUGAAAAGGUGAUUAUGAUUCUCAUUCUGACCACAGGGGGGCCACGCAAAUCAGUACUUCACAGUAUUUUCUUGUGACAAAUUUGUUUAUGUAUUUAUUCCUAGCACUUUUUUCUCCCUCCACAAAUCCAGGUUAUCUUCACAAUUUAUAACUUGAGUUAAAGAGGUCAUUUUUCAAGUUGUCUUUAUAAAGAUAAUUUCAGUCUGGUCUAGUUCGUCUAAACCCUUUAUUACUAAUCAAAUUUUGAUGUCUGUGGUAGAUUAGAGUUCCUAUUUUAUUUUCAGAGAUUUAACGUAGUUUACCCAAACUCAUUAUUCUACAGCUUAAGCAUCUGAAACCAAGAGAGAUGAAGUAAUUUUAUUCAGAAUCAAAGUUAGUUGUUGAUAUUCCCAAAUUUAAAAAACAGGAUUUUGGUUUUCUAAAAUAUUAAGUUGGAAACAUGAUGACAACCAGUUUUAGUAAAAUGUAAACAAUAAUAAUAGCUACUGUUUAUUAUCUAUGGGCCAGAAUGUUAUGGUACAUGAUUCUAUUUAAUCCUCCCCAAAGCAGCCUGGCAAGGCAUAUGUCAUCUUCAUUGUUUGGGAUGAGAAAGUUGAAUCCCGGAUUUGUUAGUCUGUCAUAACUACCACGUGACUUUAAUGAGAUGACCUGGCAUUUGAUCCCAAGUCUGUCAGAAGCUGAAGUCCACGGGCGUUCCUCUGUACCACAAUGCUUUUCUCCCAUUUGGCUUUGAAAUGAGUUUCUACUCUGGGUAUCAUAUUUAUCAUCUCAAAUUUCUUCCUAAAUUACAUAUUUUAUUUCCAAAAUAAAUAUUUACGAACAUAAAACUCUAUCUUAACAGGAAGCAGAGAAUUAAAAAUCACACAAUCACCAUGAAAGCUUCUGGUGAUCUUCCUACGGGAAAGGGAAGCUGUGGUUUGCAAGAGCUCAUGCAGGGACCCCCUACCAGCAGUUUGCGGGUCUCUGGACCACAGGAGGGUGGGGAAGGCACUGGGACGGCAGAGCACAAAAAUAAGCAUUUGAAAUCCCUUCAUGAGCAAGUGUAAUUGGAAUAAUUUGGGUUCAUUAAAUAAUCUAUAACAUUCCCUUUAUAAACGCCUUGUCCAGCUAGUAAAAAGUCAGAAGAAGCCAUGCAACUUUGCCACCACUAGAUGGCAGUGUUGGCUAUGAAAUGGAAUUGCCCACUCUCAAGAGAACUCUAAUGUUAAUCAAGAGAUUAAAUACAUGACUCCUGACAAGGAACUUGUGUUUUCCUUGGAAGAGACAAGACAAACCUAUGUGAAUAGUAACCAAAUAUCCCAAGUGUGUGCAUUCAUUUGUGACUAGUUGCAAAUACGAAGGGUAGAGGUAACACGGGCUAUAAGAUCUGAGAGAGAGAUGUAAAUGUAAACUGGAGUGGACGGGGAAGCUUCCACAGAUGUGGGACUCAGGUGGUGUUCUAAAGGAUGACUAAGCGACGGCCAGGGUAGGAAGAGAGCAGGAUCAUUCCAGGGAGGAGGAAUGACACGAGCACAAGCAUGGAGGUGGAAAUAAAUACAGAGUUCAGAUGAAGUGGAAGAUUCAUUUGGGGAAGAGUGGGAGCAGGCUGCGUAGGACACACAUAGUAUAGGAGCAGAAAUGACAAAGAGGAGCCUUGGAACUCACCCUCCCUUCUAAAUUUGCCUCUAAAAGAAUGCCACUGUAGGAAGAUGAACUGAUUGGGUACUGGGGUCAGGUACUUAUCUCGCUCUCUUGUAAACCAUCAUCUGAGCUUUCUUCCCUGUGUAAUUCCUGUAUCCUGGUCCUUUCGUCAUUUUUCAUGUUCCCUCCCCAUCAAAUCUCGAUCUGGAGACCGCAGAGACACCCCCACCCCCACCCCCGCACUCAACAGAGAACUGGCUCCUGUUUGCCUUCAGAUAGAGCAGGGGCUUCUGCUUCUGCUCUGAUUCUGCCCCAAAGACCUGCUUUCCUCUGGUUGGCCGUUUUUAAAAUAACCUGAAUUUGUACUCGAGAUGUUCAGCCAGUUUGUUUCCCUUAAAAACAAGUCAAAGCUCAUGCUUUCACCUCAGUGAGAGAACGUCAGCCAACAAAGGCUGCUUCUCUCUUCCAGUCGUCGGAACAGCUGAGCGGCUGUUUCAGGGGUUUUCUCUUUUGCCCAAACGCCACCUAAUAAAGUUCUGAAAGGCUGAAGAAAAAAGACCUUUCAGACUUCUAGGCCUUCAACGAGGUGCCCUGAGGAGAGCGCAGGAUGGCGCCCAGGGGUGGCGAAGGGGGCUCCUCCUGGGUCCCACUUGGCACGGGGCAGUCCGCAUCCCUGUCCAGCCGCUGAUGUCGCCGGGUCGAAGCAGCUGGAGUCCACGGUCGCGAGGCCACCGGCCUCUCGGCGUUUCUCCAGCCUGUCAGCUUCCGGCCAGCCCACGCCAGCAUCUGUCGUCAGGCAGAGAAGCCACAAAGGUGCUUGCUGCCAAGGACCAAGAUGACGCAGAAACCGAAGAGGAAGACGACCUGCCGGUGCCGGAGGUCCACGGCCGGGGCCUUGUGGUGACCACGGGAGCCUGGCUCCUCAGCCGCGUGGGCGUCAAGAUCCGGGUCCUCCUGCCGGCGGCCGCUCGCUUCCGGCGGCCGCUUUCCCGCCACCGCCGCCGCGGCCCCGGGCCUGGGCGAGGCGGACUCCUCCACCGCGGUGCGGGGGAUGGAAGGAGCCGGAGAGGAGGUGCAGACGGUUCAUGAAUGUGUUGUUUGCGGUGUGGCCAAGAGAACACAACAAGCAUUUUGUGCAGUGAUGACCGAAUUUCCCUGUGGCCAGCCUACUGUGUGGUUUACACGUGGGACGCCUACCACAGCAUGGCUGCCAAGCAGUGCCAUGUCCGCACCCGGGAUCCGAACCAGCGAACCCCGGGCCGCCGAGAAGCGGAACGUGCGAACUUAACCGCAGCGCCACCGGGCCGGCCCCACAGAGUAGUUAUUUAAAGGAAACACUGUAUGACAUCAGAAAGCAAGAAGGGGCAAGAGACUUCCAUUAUGGCUGUGGAGGCUGCUGACAGUAGCUACAGGAAAUGGAUUCCCUGAGCCCUGCCUUCCUGUCAGGAGUGAAAGCAAGCGGUCCUGGAGAGCUGCCUCUUCAUCUCUGGGCUGGGGAAAAGGAGGGGUUUUAUUUAGUACCAGUUUCUUCCUUCUAGUAAGAAAUCAGUUGUGUGAAUGUGCUAAUCAAAUUCCUUCAUACACAAUUAUAAUUUUAAGGAAUAAAUAAGUGGAACACCUUAAACAUGCCGUACUCUCUGAGUACUCAAAAAUCUUGAUUUUUUUUUCCUGAUAUAAUAUAAAAGCCUUGCAUUUAAAUUAGAGUCUUGCACCUAAUGAUAUAAAACAGUUUUAGUCAGUUACGAAUCAAUUAUUUGACUUCAAAGAUAAGGUUAGCUGUGAUUAACUAUCUCAGUUUUUCCUAGCUUUUAUUUCAUGGAAUUUUAUGUUUUUCCAUAAAGAAAAUUUCUUACACGUA